RNAcentral lists this ribosomal RNA (468 nucleotides) under uncultured bacterium. RNAcentral's name for it is "partial 16S ribosomal RNA". It matches the Rfam family "Bacterial small subunit ribosomal RNA", at positions 28 to 507 of the family's 1533-position model. The record is from RNAcentral.
GACGAACGCUGGCGGCGUGCUUAACACAUGCAGGUCGAACGGAAAGGCCCUGCUUUUGUGGGGUGCUCGAGUGGCGAACGGGUGAGUAACACGUGAGUAACCUGCCCUUGACUUUGGGAUAACUUCAGGCAACUGGGGCUAAUACCGGAUAGGAGCUCCUGCUGCAUGGUGGGGGUUGGAAAGUUUCGGCGGUUGGGGAUGGACUCGCGGCUUAUCAGCUUGUUGGUGGGGUAGUGGCUUACCAAGGCUUUGACGGGUAGCCGGCCUGAGAGGGUGACCGGCCACAUUGGGACUGAGAUACGGCCCAGACUCCUACGGGAGGCAGCAGUGGGGAAUAUUGCACAAUGGGCGGAAGCCUGAUGAAGCAACGCCGCGUGCGGGAUGACGGCCAUCGGGUUGUAAACCGCUUUCGCCUGUGACGAAGAGUGAGUGACGGUAAUGGAUAAAGAAGCACCGGCUAACUACGUG